RNAcentral lists this ribosomal RNA (121 nucleotides) under Propithecus coquereli (Coquerel's sifaka). Lineage: Eukaryota; Metazoa; Chordata; Mammalia; Primates; Indriidae. The record is from RNAcentral.
GUCUACGGCCGUACCACCAUGAACAUGCCUGAUCCCGUCUGAUGUCAGAGGCUAAGCAAGGUCAGGCCUAGUUAGUACUUGGAUGGGAGAAAAUGAAUUAGAGAUUGGCAUCCUUUGGACC